UUAAGCGACUAAGCGUACACGGUGGAUGCCCUGGCAGUCAGAGGCGAUGAAGGACGUGCUAAUCUGCGAUAAGCGUCGGUAAGGUGAUAUGAACCGUUAUAACCGGCGAUUUCCGAAUGGGGAAACCCAGUGUGUUUCGACACACUAUCAUUAACUGAAUCCAUAGGUUAAUGAGGCGAACCGGGGGAACUGAAACAUCUAAGUACCCCGAGGAAAAGAAAUCAACCGAGAUUCCCCCAGUAGCGGCGAGCGAACGGGGAGCAGCCCAGAGCCUGAAUCAGUGUGUGUGUUAGUGGAAGCGUCUGGAAAGGCGCGCGAUACAGGGUGACAGCCCCGUACACAAAAAUGCACAUGCUGUGAGCUCGAUGAGUAGGGCGGGACACGUGGUAUCCUGUCUGAAUAUGGGGGGACCAUCCUCCAAGGCUAAAUACUCCUGACUGACCGAUAGUGAACCAGUACCGUGAGGGAAAGGCGAAAAGAACCCCGGCGAGGGGAGUGAAAAAGAACCUGAAACCGUGUACGUACAAGCAGUGGGAGCACGCUUAGGCGUGUGACUGCGUACCUUUUGUAUAAUGGGUCAGCGACUUAUAUUCUGUAGCAAGGUUAACCGAAUAGGGGAGCCGAAGGGAAACCGAGUCUUAACUGGGCGUUAAGUUGCAGGGUAUAGACCCGAAACCCGGUGAUCUAGCCAUGGGCAGGUUGAAGGUUGGGUAACACUAACUGGAGGACCGAACCGACUAAUGUUGAAAAAUUAGCGGAUGACUUGUGGCUGGGGGUGAAAGGCCAAUCAAACCGGGAGAUAGCUGGUUCUCCCCGAAAGCUAUUUAGGUAGCGCCUCGUGAAUUCAUCUCCGGGGGUAGAGCACUGUUUCGGCAAGGGGGUCAUCCCGACUUACCAACCCGAUGCAAACUGCGAAUACCGGAGAAUGUUAUCACGGGAGACACACGGCGGGUGCUAACGUCCGUCGUGAAGAGGGAAACAACCCAGACCGCCAGCUAAGGUCCCAAAGUCAUGGUUAAGUGGGAAACGAUGUGGGAAGGCCCAGACAGCCAGGAUGUUGGCUUAGAAGCAGCCAUCAUUUAAAGAAAGCGUAAUAGCUCACUGGUCGAGUCGGCCUGCGCGGAAGAUGUAACGGGGCUAAACCAUGCACCGAAGCUGCGGCAGCGACACUAUGUGUUGUUGGGUAGGGGAGCGUUCUGUAAGCCUGUGAAGGUGUGCUGUGAGGCAUGCUGGAGGUAUCAGAAGUGCGAAUGCUGACAUAAGUAACGAUAAAGCGGGUGAAAAGCCCGCUCGCCGGAAGACCAAGGGUUCCUGUCCAACGUUAAUCGGGGCAGGGUGAGUCGACCCCUAAGGCGAGGCCGAAAGGCGUAGUCGAUGGGAAACAGGUUAAUAUUCCUGUACUUGGUGUUACUGCGAAGGGGGGACGGAGAAGGCUAUGUUGGCCGGGCGACGGUUGUCCCGGUUUAAGCGUGUAGGCUGGUUUUCCAGGCAAAUCCGGAAAAUCAAGGCUGAGGCGUGAUGACGAGGCACUACGGUGCUGAAGCAACAAAUGCCCUGCUUCCAGGAAAAGCCUCUAAGCAUCAGGUAACAUCAAAUCGUACCCCAAACCGACACAGGUGGUCAGGUAGAGAAUACCAAGGCGCUUGAGAGAACUCGGGUGAAGGAACUAGGCAAAAUGGUGCCGUAACUUCGGGAGAAGGCACGCUGAUAUGUAGGUGAGGUCCCUCGCGGAUGGAGCUGAAAUCAGUCGAAGAUACCAGCUGGCUGCAACUGUUUAUUAAAAACACAGCACUGUGCAAACACGAAAGUGGACGUAUACGGUGUGACGCCUGCCCGGUGCCGGAAGGUUAAUUGAUGGGGUCAGCGCAAGCGAAGCUCUUGAUCGAAGCCCCGGUAAACGGCGGCCGUAACUAUAACGGUCCUAAGGUAGCGAAAUUCCUUGUCGGGUAAGUUCCGACCUGCACGAAUGGCGUAAUGAUGGCCAGGCUGUCUCCACCCGAGACUCAGUGAAAUUGAACUCGCUGUGAAGAUGCAGUGUACCCGCGGCAAGACGGAAAGACCCCGUGAACCUUUACUAUAGCUUGACACUGAACAUUGAGCCUUGAUGUGUAGGAUAGGUGGGAGGCUUUGAAGUGUGGACGCCAGUCUGCAUGGAGCCGACCUUGAAAUACCACCCUUUAAUGUUUGAUGUUCUAACGUUGACCCGUAAUCCGGGUUGCGGACAGUGUCUGGUGGGUAGUUUGACUGGGGCGGUCUCCUCCUAAAGAGUAACGGAGGAGCACGAAGGUUGGCUAAUCCUGGUCGGACAUCAGGAGGUUAGUGCAAUGGCAUAAGCCAGCUUGACUGCGAGCGUGACGGCGCGAGCAGGUGCGAAAGCAGGUCAUAGUGAUCCGGUGGUUCUGAAUGGAAGGGCCAUCGCUCAACGGAUAAAAGGUACUCCGGGGAUAACAGGCUGAUACCGCCCAAGAGUUCAUAUCGACGGCGGUGUUUGGCACCUCGAUGUCGGCUCAUCACAUCCUGGGGCUGAAGUAGGUCCCAAGGGUAUGGCUGUUCGCCAUUUAAAGUGGUACGCGAGCUGGGUUUAGAACGUCGUGAGACAGUUCGGUCCCUAUCUGCCGUGGGCGCUGGAGAACUGAGGGGGGCUGCUCCUAGUACGAGAGGACCGGAGUGGACGCAUCACUGGUGUUCGGGUUGUCAUGCCAAUGGCACUGCCCGGUAGCUAAAUGCGGAAGAGAUAAGUGCUGAAAGCAUCUAAGCACGAAACUUGCCCCGAGAUGAGUUCUCCCUGACUCCUUGAGAGUCCUGAAGGAACGUUGAAGACGACGACGUUGAUAGGCCGGGUGUGUAAGCGCAGCGAUGCGUUGAGCUAACCGGUACUAAUGAACCGUGAGGCUUAACCU
RNAcentral lists this ribosomal RNA (2900 nucleotides) under Escherichia coli. RNAcentral describes it as "bacterial LSU rRNA". It matches the Rfam family "Bacterial large subunit ribosomal RNA". Lineage: Bacteria; Pseudomonadati; Pseudomonadota; Gammaproteobacteria; Enterobacterales; Enterobacteriaceae. The record is from RNAcentral.